This 373-nucleotide ribosomal RNA is filed under the name uncultured eukaryote. Its description in RNAcentral is "partial 18S ribosomal RNA". It matches the Rfam family "Eukaryotic small subunit ribosomal RNA", at positions 592 to 976 of the family's 1831-position model. The record is from RNAcentral.
CAAUAGCGUAUAUUAAAGUUGUUGCAGUUAAAAAGCUCGUAGUUGAAUUUUUGCUUGCCGCCGAUGUCGGAACUUCCGUACGUUCGGCGGCGUGCAUCCUUGGGUGGAACCUGUGUGGCAUUAGGUUGUCGUGCAGGGGAUGCUCAUCGUUUACUGUGAAAAAAUUAGAGUGUUCAAAGCAGGCUUACGCCGUUGAAUAUAUUAGCAUGGAAUAAUAAGAUAGGACCUUGGUACUAUUUUGUUGGUUUGCGCACCGAGGUAAUGAUUAACAGGGACAGUUGGGGGUAUUCGUAUUCCAUUGUCAGAGGUGAAAUUCUUGGAUUUCAGGAAGACGAACUACUGCGAAAGCAUUUACCAAGGAUGUUUUCAUUAA